Molecule: long non-coding RNA, 1078 nt
Organism: Nymphaea colorata (pocket water lily)
Lineage: Eukaryota; Viridiplantae; Streptophyta; Magnoliopsida; Nymphaeales; Nymphaeaceae
Exons: 2
Source: RefSeq, a predicted model, not a curated record
UAAGCAAGUUAUGCACAAGUACCGAAGAUUUAAGUUUUUACGGUAUCUUUUCUUUGUAAAACUUUUUGCGGCAAAUUUCUUAUCAAAACAUACAAGAACAGUCGUUCCUCCGCGAAAAUCACAGCUUGGGUCGGCAGUCAUCGUCCCUCGAUCAAAUAUCAGAAGUUCAGCCCUUGCUUUCGCGGCGAAUUCCGGUCGCCGACGGCUGCCCUAAUUCCCGGCCCACCACCGUCAAGUCUCUACCUCCGGACCUUCUCCCUCUGUCGAAGAUGAUUCCCAGGCCAAUCCACAUCACACUCUCCCUCUAAGCUGCCUUCACGGAACUGAAGAGGUAGCUUCUUUUCUCGCCAUUUCCUCCUUCUUCUUCUUCAACUUGGAGAAGAAGCGGGCACUGCCAACAAGUGAUCGGUAAACGGCUUAUUUUAUGCUCUACGUUCUACGGGCUCGCCAUUGCUGAUCACCGAUUAUCUCCGAGCGUGGCCGUGACGGGUGAGGUCCGGCUGGAUAUCCUCUGCCUACCGUUCAAGUUGCUCUCGGUCUCCGUCAAUUCAUCCCCGUGCAAAUUGGGUCUUACUUUCAUUCAAUACCAGUUCCAGGACUUUUAUUCUAAGCACUGAUGAUUGGAGAUGGAAAGAUGUAUUGAUGGAAGCUUCAAUGAAGGGCUUGAAAAAGAUGCCAUAGGCAGAGAACCAAAGUAUGCAAGCAACGCUAACCAGUGGACUCCGUUGUACGGCAGCAAGACUGCAAAAACAUCUCCAAAUUUUGUGGCAAGCCCUCACACAGAAAUGGGGGGUACACGAGUUGCAUGAAGCUUCUGAAAAUGGAUUUUCCCCAGUUCACCGGCGAAGACCCACUCAGUUAGGUCUUUUGGGCAGAGCCUUCUAGUUUAGGGCAUACCACAAGAGACAAGGGUAGCACAUGCCCAGUUUCUGUAUUUGCUUCACUACAUGAAACCAAAUACCGUCCAAGCUAAUCCAAGCUAUUUUUUUUUAUUUUUGAGUAAGCUUAUCCAUUGAGAUCCUACUUGUGAUGGAAACUUCAAUGAAGAGCUUGAAAUAAUAUUUCACUAUUGGAGUCU